UUGCAUUGCAACCCGAUCUGUGGGCUGUUUUCUCAGUGCUUACAUUCAUGAUAUUAUGCAUUUAGUAGUUGAACAGAACAUAAUGAUAUCCCCAAAAUAAGUUUCUUUUUGAAGGGUCACCAGCUAGCACAAUAUAGAUAUCCCCAUCUGAAUAACAUUAUUGCAUUGUUGAAUGGUGAUUGGUGAGUGGCUUAAUAGAACUGUUUACAUGCUGUUGGAUAGCUAGGGGGUUCAGAAGAGAUAUAUUUACAUUAGUGGAUAGACUAAUAGAUAAGUUGAAGUGAAAGCUAUGCCUUGGCCACACAAGGUUAUCAAUUUAUUCUACAUAUGUGAAUGAUACUUGGCCCAUUCUAUAAAUCAUGGAUGAUAUGUCAGUGAAAGUAAAGAAAGAUAUGUCAAUCAGUAAAUGUGUGUUUGUUGGUAGCAUAAGAGCAGGUACAAUAAUGGGCUUAUAGCCAAGCAAAUGCUGAUGUGGAGGAGAGAAGAGAGGAGAGAGAUGAUAGCUUGGCUCUUAUGUAAGCACCAAGCUGGGCACGGAUGCAUAGGUAGUAGUGGGCCUAAAUAGCAAGUGCUGUGAGAAGGA
Molecule: long non-coding RNA, 583 nt
Filed under: Sorghum bicolor (sorghum)
Lineage: Eukaryota; Viridiplantae; Streptophyta; Magnoliopsida; Poales; Poaceae
Description: long non-coding RNA (SBIC_LNC009859)
Source: RNAcentral